GGACUACCGGGGUAUCUAAUCCCAUUCGCUACCCUGGCUUUCGUGUGUGAGCGUCAGGUAUGGGCCAGUGCGCUGCCUUCGCCUUUGGUGUUCCCCACGAUAUCAACGGAUUUCACCCCUACACCGUGAGUUCCACGCACCUCUCCCAACCUCUAGUCAUGCCGUUUCGCUCGCGAGCCGUAGGUUGAGCCCACGGAUUUUACGAACGACUAACAUGACCGCCUUGACACCCUUUACGCCCAGUGAUUCCGGAUAAUGCUUGGGGCCUCUGUAUUACCGCGGCUGCUGGCAC
This 292-nucleotide ribosomal RNA is filed under the name uncultured bacterium. RNAcentral describes it as "partial 16S ribosomal RNA". The record is from RNAcentral.